CCGGCCGUCAGCCGCACGUUGGGCAUGUCGUAG
This 33-nucleotide small RNA is filed under the name Propionibacterium australiense. RNAcentral's name for it is "CRISPR_Spacer". The record is from RNAcentral. Lineage: Bacteria; Bacillati; Actinomycetota; Actinomycetes; Propionibacteriales; Propionibacteriaceae.